AUGGAUUUAUCUAGACCAAUAUAUUGGAUUUUUAUGCUAUUUGGGGGAUUUCUUCUUCUACUAGGGGGUUUACCAGUAUUCUUGUUUAUAUAUCCGUAUUCCAUUUUAUUAUUUAAUUCAUACUUUGUAGCUGUCGCACAACUUCUUAUUUAUGUGGGAGCCAUAAAUGUCGCAAUCAUAUUCACCAUAAUGUUCAUAAAUCGCUCAGAAUGGUCUGAAGAUAAGAAUCGUUGGACUAUUGGAGAUGGGUUUACUUCACUCUUUUGUAUAACUAUUGUUCUUUCACUAAUGACUACUAUCCCAGAUACAUCAUGGUAG
RNAcentral lists this ribosomal RNA (318 nucleotides) under Triticum aestivum (bread wheat). Its description in RNAcentral is "partial small subunit ribosomal RNA". The record is from RNAcentral. Lineage: Eukaryota; Viridiplantae; Streptophyta; Magnoliopsida; Poales; Poaceae.